UACGUAGGGGGCAAGCGUUGUCCGGAAUUAUUGGGCGUAAAGCGCGCGCAGGCGGCUUCUUAAGUCAGGUGUGAAAGCCCACGGCUCAACCGUGGAGGGCCAUCUGAAACUGGGGAGCUUGAGUGCAGGAGAGGAGAGCGGAAUUCCACGUGUAGCGGUGAAAUGCGUAGAGAUGUGGAGGAACACCCGUGGCGAAGGCGGCUCUCUGGCCUGUAACUGACGCUGAGGCGCGAAAGCGUGGGGAGCAAACAGG
This 253-nucleotide ribosomal RNA is filed under the name uncultured bacterium. RNAcentral's name for it is "partial 16S ribosomal RNA". It matches the Rfam family "Bacterial small subunit ribosomal RNA", at positions 524 to 776 of the family's 1533-position model. The record is from RNAcentral.